GGCGGCAUAGCCAAGUGGUAAGGCAGGGGUCUGCAAAACCCCCAUUCGUCGGUCCGAUUCCGACUGCCGCCUCCA
This 75-nucleotide transfer RNA is filed under the name Candidatus Altimarinota bacterium. RNAcentral's name for it is "tRNA-Cys". It matches the Rfam family "tRNA". From Rfam's summary of the family: Transfer RNA (tRNA) molecules are approximately 80 nucleotides in length. Lineage: Bacteria; Candidatus Altimarinota. The record is from RNAcentral.